Molecule: transfer RNA, 68 nt
Filed under: Actinomycetes bacterium
Lineage: Bacteria; Bacillati; Actinomycetota; Actinomycetes
Description: tRNA-Val
Source: RNAcentral
AGGUCAGCGGCUAUUCAGGCCGCUUCACACGCGGAAGGUCGCUGGUUCGAUCCCAGCCGGGACCACCA